CUCCUGCUCCUUCUGCCAUGAUUGUAACUUUUCUGAAGCCUCCCCAGUCAUGCUUCUUGUACAGUCUGCAGAACGGUCUUGCAACUUGGCUUCAAUCUGCACAGAAGAAUCAGUUUUAAAAGGUGAUGAGAAGCGAGAAGGAGAGAAGAGCUGCGGCCCUUCGGGGAGCCCAGACCUUGUUGCUCUCUGAGCCAUGGCUGUGACACCCUCUUUGGAGCUCUGUGGUUCCUGGUGUCUCCAAGCUUCCAGGCUCCACCAUCACAUUCCCUGGUGCCUGGAAGCUGCUUGUGGUACUCCUGGUCCAUCUACAACCUCACAGGGAACGAGCGCCUAUGCGGGCACCUGAAGCUGCCUGCCCUGCCACAGCGUGCCUGGUUAUGUGCAGUGGCGGGACCCCAGGCUCACUCACUCACACAGCCGUCACUGCUCCACGCCUCGCUCGCCCUUGGCAGGCGUGGAAUCCAGACCGGUAGCGUAAGCCAAGCGCAGCCUGCCAGGCCAACUGUGUGCAAUGAGCCCAGUGGGCCUCAGCAAAACUCGGGCAAAGGUGCCACCAGCCACAGAGUUUCUGGCCAGAAAAGUGACACUCCAAGGAUCCUGUGACAGUUUCACACCUAACAAGCUGGAAAGUGUGUGCCUAUAACUGUUCAAAACAGGUCCUUCCUCACCUACAAAAAGAAGUAUUUCUUCUUCAUACAUUGAGCACCACAUCAACAGGGUCUCACUCCAUUGCCUACACUGGAGUGCAGUGGCACGAUCUUGGGUUACUGCACCCUCUGCCUCCUGGGCUCAAGUGAUCCUCCCACUUCAGCCUCCUGAGUAGUUGGAACUACAGGAUCUCUAUUGAGCUGGGUAGAACUUCCUUCCUUGGGAUGGCAGUAAGAACCAAAGCAAGAAAUGAAAGCAACGUGUUUCCACACAUCUAAGAACUCAAAACAUUUCCAAAAGCCACCAUAAUUGGUUUGACCUUAUCCUUGUCCUGGAAUUUUCAGUGAUGUCUUUCUUGUAGAACAGAUUAAGCAGCAUAGCUUCAUUUAAUGUAUUUAUGAUGAUUUCUGACCAUAUUACCAAAAGGCGUAACAGUGGUACCAAGGGAGUUAACAAUUGCAAAGGUGCAUUAUUGUUCUCUUAUUACUUGGUUGGGCUACUAAUUUUUUUUUUUUUUUUUUUUUUUGAGAUGGAGUCUCACUCUGUCACCCAGGCUGGAGUGCAGUGGUGCAAUCUCGGCUCACUGCAAGCUCAGCCUCCAGGGUUCAUGCCAUUCUCCUGCCUCAGCCUCCCAAGUAGCUGGGGCUACAGGCACCCGCCACCACGCCCGGCUAAUUGUUUGUAUUUUUAGUAGAGACGGGGUUUCACCGUGUUAGCCAGGAUGGUCUCAAUCUCCUGACCUCGUGAUCUGCCCUCCUUGGCCUCCCAAAGUGCUGGGAUUACAGGCAUGAGCCACCACGCCUGGCCUGGGCUACUGAUUUUUAAAAAUUAGAAUGUAUUAAAGUAAACACACAAAAUGAAAUGUAGCCAUAUAAAAUAUAGACUUUAAGUUUUGACCAAUGUAUGCACCUUUCUAGUCAUCAACAUGAUCAAUGUUGUGUUUACUGUACAUUCAGUAAGAUAUUUCCAUCACAAUAAAAGUUUUUCUCAUAUCUAUUUGCCAUCAGUUCCCCAACCUCUUGCCUCAGGAAACCAGCAGUCUGCUUUUUGUCACCAUUGAUUCGUUUAUCUUGUACUAGAAAUCAAUGUAGAUGAAAUCAUACAGUAUGUAUUCUCUUUCAUCUGCCUUCUUUUCCUCACAACAUUUUUUAGAUUGAUCCAGGCCAUUGUGGGUAUCAGUAGCUCAUUACUCUUUAUUGCUCAGUAAUAUUUUGUCCUAGGGUUAUACCAAAAUGUGUUUAUCCAUUCACUUAACAAUGGACAUUUAACAUGUUUCCAGUUAAAGGUUAUUAUGAAUAAAGCUGUUAUAAACAUUUGUGGAAAAAUUUUUGUGCCAAGUUAUGUCUUUAUUUUUAGGGUAUAAAUACCUAAAAGGGGAAUUGUUGAAUUGUGUGGUAACUAUAUUUUUAAUUUUGAAAAAAUUUUCCAAACUGUUUUCAGAGGGAAUUAUGUCAUUUUAUAUUAGUAUGACAGUUUCCAUUGCCCCGUGUCUUUACAAACACUUGAUUUUGUCUAUCUCUCUAUUUUUAACCAUCCUGAAUGUUGUGUAAUAGUAUCUUAUUUUGGUUUUCAUUUGUUUAUGCCUGAUUACUAGUGAUGUUGAGCACAGUUUCAUGUUGUCUUUUCAUGUUGCCAUUUCUAUGUACUUUUGUGAAAUAUCUAUUCAAAUAUUGAUUUUUUUUAAAAAAAAUGGGUUAUUUGUCUUUAUAUUAUAGAAUUGUAGAAAUUUUCUAUAUAAUUUGAAAAUCAGUGCUUUGGCUGAUAUACAUAUUGACAAUAUUUUUCCUAGUCUGCAGUUUGACUUCUCAUUUUCUGAAUGAUGUCUUUUGGAGGGAAGAAGUUCUUAGUUUUGAUGAAGUACAUUAUAUUAUUAUUUACAUUAUAGUUUGUGUAUUUUAUUUCCUAUGUAAGAUAUCCUUACCUACCUAAUUUUAUUAAUACUUUCCCUUAUAUUUUCUUCUAGAAGAUGUAUACUUUUAGUUUGUGACUGCAGGUGUAGAAUUUAUUUUGAGUUAUUUCUGUAUGAUGCAAAGUGAAGGUCAAAAUUUAUUUACUUAUUUUCCAAAAAAGAUUAUCCUGCUUUUCUAGCCCCAUUAUUUUAAAAGAUUAUCUUUCUCCUCAAUAAUACAUUGGCUUACUUAUUGAAACAAACUGACCUUACACGUGUAGGUUUAUUUCUGGACACUACUGUCUGUUCUGUUCUACUGAGGUAUAUACCUAUCAUGAUGCAAAUUUCAUGCUUAUACUAAGACUGAAAUGGGGUAGUGAGAAUUCUUCAAUUUUGUUCUUCUUUUUCACAAUGGUUUUGGUCAUUGUCGGUUCUUUGUAUUUUCUAAAUUAUUUUAGAAUCUUCUUGACAAUUUCUGUAAAAAUUAUGUGCUUUGAUUUUGAUCAGCCUUGUAUUGAAACCAUAGAUCAAUUUUGAAGAAUUGCCACCUUAUUGAGGUUUCUAAUCCAUGAGUAUGUCAUAUUUUUCUACACAAUUAGAUAUUGUAUAAUUUGUCCCAGCAGUUUUCUGGGAUAAACAUUUAUGUACAAAUCUUCAUGCCAAGUUAUGUCUUUAUUUCUUUGGGGUAAAUACUUAAGAGUGGAAUAGUUGGAUUGUGUGGUGUGUAUAUGUUUAAUUUUGUAAGACAUUUCCAAAGUGUUUUCAGAGGGAAUUGUGCCAUUUUAUAUUAAUAUGAAAGUUUAUAUUGCUCCAUGUCUUUACAAACACUUGAUUUUGCCCAUCUCUUUAGGGGGAUUACACAUCUUUUUUGAUACAUUUUUAAUAAAUAUAUUAAGCUUUUUGGCACUGCUAGAAAUAUUUUUUAUUUCAUUUUAUUAUUGUGUAUUUCUUGUAUUAGAUAUAAAAUUGAUAUUUAUAUGUUGACCUUGUAUCCUGUGCCCAUUGCUAAAUUCACUUAUUCCAUCUAAUAGAUUUUUGAGAGUCCUUGGAUUUUUAUGCGUAUGUGAUCUCAUAUACGACCACAAAAUAUCUUGACAUUUUAAUCUCUUCCUUUCCAAUAUGUGAAUUUCUUACUUAUUUUAAUCUUUGUCACACUGUUCAGGAGCUCCAGUGGAAUAUUUAAUAUAACUGAUAACAAGGAGUAUCUAUGCUUUCGUUUCUAAUCUUGAGUUGUAGAAGGUCACACUGACUUAACAGCAUUUCAUAACAGUGCAGGUCUUUUGUAAGCACUGUUUUAACAGAUUCAGUAAGUGUUCUUUUUUUUUUUUUCUCUUUUUAAAAUUUUCUGUUUUAUUAAAAACAAUAUAUUUUCAUUAUAUAACUUUAGAAAAUGCAGAAAACUGUGGGUAAGAAUUAAACGUGUGUGUGUAUACUUUUUUAAAAAGUUGGUCGUAAUGUAUAUAUUGUUUUCUUUGAUUUUGUUUAAUGUAUAACCGUUUCCC
RNAcentral lists this long non-coding RNA (4038 nucleotides) under Homo sapiens (human). RNAcentral describes it as "non-protein coding lnc-DEFB112-3:4". The record is from RNAcentral. Lineage: Eukaryota; Metazoa; Chordata; Mammalia; Primates; Hominidae.